UACGUAGGGUGCGAGCGUUAAUCGGAAUUACUGGGCGUAAAGCGUGCGCAGGCGGUUUUGCAAGCCGGAUGUGAAAUCCCCGGGCUCAACCUGGGAAUGGCAUUCGGGACUGCAAGGCUGGAGUGCGGCAGAGGAGACUGGAAUUCCACGUGUAGCAGUGAAAUGCGUAGAGAUGUGGAGGAACACCGAUGGCGAAGGCAGCCCCCUGGGCCAAUACUGACGCUCAUGCACGAAAGCGUGGGGAGCAAACAGG
Molecule: ribosomal RNA, 253 nt
Filed under: uncultured bacterium
Lineage: Bacteria
Description: partial 16S ribosomal RNA
Rfam family: Bacterial small subunit ribosomal RNA
Source: RNAcentral